AAAUUUAAAAAUUACACGACAAAAAAGCACCAUAUUUCACUGCUGACAUGUAAGGACGGGCAUAUAAAAUCUGGCCAUUAUGUAACUUUUCUCUCUCUUCCCCUUUGCCUUGUAGACAUCCACGUGACGAUAUUGCCGUUAGGUUUUCUUUUACUUAAAAGAGACAGGGUAACAUUCUGUAAAAAAACCUCCCUUUCCAGCCUCCGGCAAUUUACGAAGUUUCCGUUCGUGAGAAAGAAUCAAAUAAAUACCGGAAAAAAUUACCUCAUAUUUUCCACCAGAUGGAAAACGGUGUAGGGCUAUGAGAGUACCGACAAACCUAAAUCAAGGAUUUUUACUACCAUGAAAGAUAACUGUAAUUAUGGUCGUGUUGUUUAAUUUACAAUACGUAUUGCUAUAAUAAAAAAAUUGUAGUACUUUCUGAUUCGAAUCUUCACAAAUAAAUGGGUUAAUAAUUAGGGCGUCAACAAAAGACAUCAAAAGAAAAAUUGUGAAAUAAAAAAAGGGGUUCAUCCGUUGAGCCAGAGUUGAACUAGGGACCUAUGGAUACCUUCGUAAUGGAAGUUUAACAACCUUCUCUUUGUUGUUGGACAACUCUACAGUUCACAGCUAUCGACGGCUGGAAUUAGAACGUUUUGCAAGCGACGAUAUUCUUUGUUCACUUCGAUUACACGUU
Long non-coding RNA from Daphnia magna, 676 nucleotides. RefSeq lists it as uncharacterized. The record is from RefSeq and is a predicted model, not a curated record. The transcript has 2 exons. NCBI's taxonomy places the organism in Eukaryota, Metazoa, Arthropoda, Branchiopoda, Diplostraca, Daphniidae.